RNAcentral lists this small nuclear RNA (165 nucleotides) under Anneissia japonica. RNAcentral's name for it is "U1 spliceosomal RNA". It matches the Rfam family "U1 spliceosomal RNA". Rfam says of the family: U1 is a small nuclear RNA (snRNA) component of the spliceosome (involved in pre-mRNA splicing). Lineage: Eukaryota; Metazoa; Echinodermata; Crinoidea; Comatulida; Comatulidae. The record is from RNAcentral.
AUACUUACCUGGCACAGGAGUGACUUUGAUCAAGAAGGAAUGUCCUCCCAAGGUGAGGCCUUGGCAUUGCACUUGGCUGAGGUUGACCCUUGCGAUUCCCCCAAAUGUGGGGAACUCGGGUGUAUAAUUUAUGGUAGCGGGGGACUGCGUUCGCGCUAACCCCUA